AAUAGUCUGAUAACCCAAGUGAGC
Molecule: non-coding RNA, 24 nt
Filed under: Mus musculus (house mouse)
Lineage: Eukaryota; Metazoa; Chordata; Mammalia; Rodentia; Muridae
Also listed under: 1 other name
Source: RNAcentral